This 1349-nucleotide long non-coding RNA is filed under the name Heterocephalus glaber (naked mole-rat). RNAcentral describes it as "lncRNA (ENSHGLG00000041320.1)". Lineage: Eukaryota; Metazoa; Chordata; Mammalia; Rodentia; Bathyergidae. The record is from RNAcentral.
AUUUUUGACUCAAAGUGUUUAUUUGCUGCCAACAACCAAGCUGUAAAUCAUCCUGUUAGAGCUUUCCUUUUCGAAGAAAACAAAAACAAACUGUAGAACUACGGUGCACUCCAAGUGCCAUAUAUCUAUUUUAUUCUUCAGGAAAUUGUAUUUGUUUUUCUUUUACAAGAGCACAACAGGAACCAAAGUAAAAGAGUAAUAGAUACAGCACUCAGGAUAAAUCAUAUCUUUAAAAUAAUAACAGAAAAAUUUACACCUUGUCCUAUAUCCUGUUAGUAUUUUCAUAUGGCCAUGAUUGAAAAAACAAAAAGCAAGCAUUUACAAUUUUUUUUUGAUAAAGGCUUUUUAUGCCAGGAAUGGAUUAAUUGUCAACAAAAUUUUAUACUAAUCAGACUGAUGUAAAACUAUUUUGGUAGCAUACCAUUAACAAAUUUAUUUUGGAAAUAGAUAAAAAUAUUGCCCCUUGAUAAUAAAUCUUUUUGUUCCUUUGAUGCAAACAGCUACAAUGCCUUUUUCUUUUUUUUUUGAUAUUCUAAGACAAAAAAAAUGGUUAAUCUUCAGAUUAAUAAAUUAGGUCAUUAUAAUAAUAAAUUAAUUUUUUUUAAAGUUCAGCAACCUCUGUCCAAGUAUUUACAACAAUACUUGAAAGUUCCUUUACAAAACAGAACACAUUUUCUUUUCACAUUAAGCAUACUGGGUAUCUGUGUCUUUCACAACAAGCAUUUUUAAAAGAAAAAUCAAUGCACAAAUGGGUCAUUAGUAUAAAAGUGCUAAGAGCUGUUUGAAAAGUUAACACUAUAGUAUACAGUCAGUUAUAUUUGAGGCAAACUACAACAAACUUCCAGCUUAUUGUGGACAAUAUUCCAGUAGUUGUUUCAAACAGUUGUUUGAAAAAAUAAAUCCAGGAGCUGAUUAAUGAUGCAGAUAAAAACUGCCAUCAAUAUCUCUGGCUAGUGAGCAAAUUGAAAACCAACUGAAAGCAAAUCCAAAUGAAGAAGACUGUAAUAAAGGAAUAUCUUCUCCACAGCAGGUGUGAUGCUGGCUGCUCAGGUGCGUGCGUGUGCACGCGCGCACGCACACACACACACACUCUCACUCACACAAACAUCUCCCCAAUUAAACUGCAGGUAGAAUGAGAUUUUGUGUUAUUCAAAAAAAAUCUAAGUGAUCAAAAGCACUGAUAUGGAAUGCCUGUUUAUCUGCCUUUGUUCUGGUUAAAAUCUCAAAAAUACAUUCAACAGGAAAACAUAAAAUGUAUGUGUAUAAAUAUAUAUGCAUAUAUAUAUUAUAUACACAUGCACACAAAUACUUUUGUUUUUCGAAGCAUAAGAUAGUUACAUAAAUAUUCC